AUGGAAUGGAAUGUGGGUGCUAAACGAAGGGUUGAAUUUGUUGAUGUAGGCGUGAAGGAAGAAAGUUCGAAUUCUAAGAAAGCGGAAGGAUCCCAAGACCGAGGUAAAUCCUCGAUUUAGAUGUAUGGACGGCUUGGAAUGUGCACACUUGGAUUACGCCCGCCUCACGCUUCCGUUAUUAAGUCUAUUAAAAUAGGUUAAGUUUUGGUCAUAUGUAUCUAGGUCUAUGUAGUAUGUCGAUAACUCGUUGUUGGGUAAAAACUUAGUAGUCGAAGUCAUGUCGUGUCCAAUAUAGACUUUGUUGUUUUGGGUUUUUGUCAAGGAUGUUAAGCGUUGAAGUUUGGUAUGUAUAACAGGGUGUUAAUGGUUUUAAACGAAUAGGUCAUGCCGAAUUUUCCUA
RNAcentral lists this long non-coding RNA (400 nucleotides) under Helianthus annuus (common sunflower). RNAcentral's name for it is "hypothetical non coding rna". Lineage: Eukaryota; Viridiplantae; Streptophyta; Magnoliopsida; Asterales; Asteraceae. The record is from RNAcentral.